GACGAACGCUGGCGGCGUGCUUAACACAUGCAAGUCGAACGGAAAGGCCCUGCUUUUGUGGGGUGCUCGAGUGGCGAACGGGUGAGUAACACGUGAGUAACCUGCCCUUGACUUUGGGAUAACUUCAGGAAACUGGGGCUAAUACCGGAUAGGAGCUCCUGCUGCAUGGUGGGGGUUGGAAAGUUUCGGCGGUUGGGGAUGGACUCGCGGCUUAUCAGCUUGUUGGUGGGGUAGUGGCUUACCAAGGCUUUGACGGGUAGCCGGCCUGAGAGGGUGACCGGCCACAUUGGGACUGAGAUACGGCCCAGACUCCAACGGGAGGCAGCAGUGGAGAGUAUUGCACAAUGGGCGGAAGCCUGAUGCAGCAACGCCGCGUGCGGGAUGACGGCCUUCGGGUUGUAAACCGCUUUCGCCGGUGACGAAGCGUGAGUGACGGUAAUGGGUAAAGAAGCACCGGCUAACUACGUG
Molecule: ribosomal RNA, 468 nt
Filed under: uncultured bacterium
Lineage: Bacteria
Description: partial 16S ribosomal RNA
Rfam family: Bacterial small subunit ribosomal RNA
Source: RNAcentral